This 460-nucleotide ribosomal RNA is filed under the name uncultured bacterium. RNAcentral describes it as "partial 16S ribosomal RNA". It matches the Rfam family "Bacterial small subunit ribosomal RNA", at positions 338 to 795 of the family's 1533-position model. The record is from RNAcentral.
CCUACGGGGGGCAGCAGUGAGGAAUAUUGGUCAAUGGACGCAAGUCUGAACCAGCCAUGCCGCGUGCAGGAAGACGGCUCUAUGAGUUGUAAACUGCUUUUGUACGAGAGUAAACGCAGAUACGCGUAUCUGUCUGAAAGUAUCUUACGAAUAAGGAUCGGCUAACUCCGUGCCAGCAGCCGCGGUAAUACGGAGGAUUCAAGCGUUAUCCGGAUUUAUUGGGUUUAAAGGGUGCGUAGGCGGUCGGAUAAGUUAGAGGUGAAAGCCUGAGGCUCAACUUCGGAAUUGCCUCUGAUACUGUUCGGCUAGAGAGUAGUUGCGGUAGGCGGAAUGUAUGGUGUAGCGGUGAAAUGCUUAGAGAUCAUACAGAACACCGAUUGCGAAGGCAGCUUACCAAGCUACUUCUGACGUUGAGGCACGAAAGCGUGGGGAGCAAACAGGAUUAGAUACCCCUGUAGUC